This 160-nucleotide small RNA is filed under the name Streptomyces sp. Its description in RNAcentral is "c-di-AMP sequence". It matches the Rfam family "c-di-AMP riboswitch aptamer (ydaO/yuaA leader)". Rfam says of the family: This family represents a conserved RNA structure found upstream of the ydaO and yuaA genes in Bacillus subtilis and related genes in other bacteria. The ydaO/yuaA element is thought to act as a genetic "off" switch for the ydaO and yuaA genes in its native state. It is believed that the element may be triggered during osmotic shock leading to activation of ydaO, a predicted amino acid transporter gene, and members of the yuaA-yubG operon which code for KtrA and KtrB K+ transporters. The record is from RNAcentral. Lineage: Bacteria; Bacillati; Actinomycetota; Actinomycetes; Kitasatosporales; Streptomycetaceae.
GGGCAGUCAUCGCCUAGUCCCCGUACGGCGCGAGCCAGGGGAGCCGGGGACCCACACGUCCCUGGGGUGAAUCGGACGCCCGCGCCCGCGCGGGGGCCCGUAGGAGACCUUCCUGCUCCGAACCCGUCAGCUAACCCGGUAGGCGAGAGGGAAGGAAAGG